RNAcentral lists this ribosomal RNA (642 nucleotides) under uncultured bacterium. RNAcentral describes it as "bacterial SSU rRNA". It matches the Rfam family "Bacterial small subunit ribosomal RNA", at positions 215 to 847 of the family's 1533-position model. The record is from RNAcentral.
UCACUGAUGGAUGGACCCGCGGUGCAUUAGCUAGUUGGUGAGGUAACGGCUCACCAAGGCCACGAUGCAUAGCCGACCUGAGAGGGUGAUCGGCCACACUGGGACUGAGACACGGCCCAGACUCCUACGGGAGGCAGCAGUAGGGAAUCUUCGGCAAUGGACGAAAGUCUGACCGAGCAACGCCGCGUGAGUGAAGAAGGUUUUCGGAUCGUAAAACUCUGUUGUUAGAGAAGAACAAGGAUGAGAGUAGAACGUUCAUCCCUUGACGGUAUCUAACCAGAAAGCCACGGCUAACUACGUGCCAGCAGCCGCGGUAAUACGUAGGUGGCAAGCGUUGUCCGGAUUUAUUGGGCGUAAAGCGAGCGCAGGCGGUUUCUUAAGUCUGAUGUGAAAGCCCCCGGCUCAACCGGGGAGGGUCAUUGGAAACUGGGAGACUUGAGUGCAGAAGAGGAGAGUGGAAUUCCAUGUGUAGCGGUGAAAUGCGUAGAUAUAUGGAGGAACACCAGUGGCGAAGGCGGCUCUCUGGUCUGUAACUGACGCUGAGGCUCGAAAGCGUGGGGAGCGAACAGGAUUAGAUACCCUGGUAGUCCACGCCGUAAACGAUGAGUGCUAAGUGUUGGAGGGUUUCCGCCCUUCAGUGCU